UUAAGCAUAUAAGUAAGCGGCGGACAAGAAACUAAACAGGAUCCCCCAUCGUAAUGGCGAAUGAGCAGGGAUGAGCUCAGCAUGGAAAUUGGGGCCUUCGGCCUUGACCUGUAAGCUGGUGAGGUAUUGCCAACAGAGGCGCAGAUGUAAGUCUCUUGGAAAAGAGCAUCAAUGAGGGUGAGAGUCCUGCUUGCCAUCUGCAGCCCCCUGUGCACGGUGUACCUACUAAGAGUCACGUUCCUCGGGAUUGGAGCGCAAAGUGGGUGGUAACUUUCAUCUGAAGCUAAAUAUUGGUUUGAGACCGAUAGGAAACAAGUACCAUGAGGGAAAGGUGAAAAGGACUUUGGAAAGAGAGUUAAAAGUGCCUGAAAUUGCUGAAUGGGAAGCGAAUGGAACCAGUGUUCCUUGGUGAGAUUGUCAUAUGUUAUAAUGAUUGGUUGCUGAUUCAGUGCAAGUGUUCUGGUAAGCAUUGAUCUGUAAGUGUGUGGUGUGUCUUGCCUUGAGUGUCAUCAUGGGCUUCUGCAUUAAGACAAUUCAAAAUUCAGGGUAAUAUGUUCGUGAAGGUAUGAAUGUGCUUUGCUAUGUUUAUGCAGAAGCUUCUGUUUAUGUCUGGCUGCUGUGCUUUGCUCCAACCUUGGGGCGGGCAUAUCUUUUGCACAGAUGAUGACUAAAUGAUUCUAUUCGACCCGUCUUGAAACACGGACCAAGGAGUCUAGCAUAUGUGCAAGUUCAUGGGUUGCAAAUCUGUGUGCACAAUGAAAGUGACUGCUGGGAUCUUUGCGCCAGCAACCGACCAAUCAAUUGAGAGAGGUUUGAGUAUGAGCAUUUCUGUUAGGACCCGAAAGAUGGUGAACUAUGCCUGAGAAGGGCAAACUCAGGGGAAACUCUGAUGGAGGCUCGUAGCGGUACUGACGUGCAAA
RNAcentral lists this ribosomal RNA (920 nucleotides) under Phalacroma rotundatum. Its description in RNAcentral is "eukaryotic LSU rRNA". It matches the Rfam family "Eukaryotic large subunit ribosomal RNA", at positions 34 to 897 of the family's 3401-position model. Lineage: Eukaryota; Dinophyceae; Dinophysales; Dinophysaceae. The record is from RNAcentral.